This 92-nucleotide transfer RNA is filed under the name Lithothamnion sp. RNAcentral's name for it is "tRNA-Ser". It matches the Rfam family "tRNA". From Rfam's summary of the family: Transfer RNA (tRNA) molecules are approximately 80 nucleotides in length. The record is from RNAcentral. Lineage: Eukaryota; Rhodophyta; Florideophyceae; Hapalidiales; Hapalidiaceae.
GAAGAGAUGGCCGAGUGGCUUAAGGCAACGGUUUGCUAAAUCGUCAUACAACAACUUAUGUAGUAUCGUAGGUUCGAAUCCUACUCUCUUUA